CUUGUUUGGCAUUCAAAACAUACUUUUUUACACGUGAAAGUAAAGUAAACUAUUAAAUAUUCAUUAUAGUUAGAGGAGCUGAACUAAGAUCAACUGCUCUAUCAUAAAGCUGUUCCAAUCCAAUAGCUAACUGUAUUUGAAUAUCUCCUUGUUGAAGCUCAUUGAAUUGAAACUGAAAGAUCAUCAAAAAAGAAGAGAUGAAGCAACGCACACACCUACACAGCUGACAGCCGCCUGGGCAGCUGGACACUCAUGUGAAGUGCUCCGAUUUGGUUGGAAGCAUCAUUAAGGACUUUUCGUUAAGGAAUUCGGAGAAUCGCUAGAGCAAUGGGAUUGGGAAUAGCAAUUGGAAUGGCUAUAACAGAGCCACCCCCACGGCUGGAUGGCAAUCGUAUUGACUGAAAAAGGCGUCCAUUCAAAUGCUAUCAGAAAGUUGGCCGAACGCUCGUAAAAUCUCAAGAUGGACAGCGGACGUCACAUAAAGAGCGCGCAUAAAUUUUUAGCCAACAAUUGAAGUCGGCCAAAACGAACGAACGAACGGCUGCUAAUUGAAAGGCACGAGACGGUCCGCAUAAGAUCAGGCAGCCCAGCAUCUGGACAAAUAUUUACCGAAGCUUCACCUUUGGCUCGUAAAUUGCCGCCUACAAAGGGCCGAGGGAGCGAGAGAGAGAAAGAGAGAGAGAGUGAGAAAGGGAAGGAGAGGGAGGGAGUAUGGGAAUGGGCCCAAAAUCGAAAUCAAUAUCCAAGUGAAAGUAAUGACCGCUGUCCGUUCCCUCAGUGCGACAGAUCAGUGCUGGACAGAGACAUUAGGCUACUGUUCCUGCUCCUGCUGCUGCUGUUGCUGCUGCUGCUGCUGCUGCUGCUGCUGUUCUAGUAAAAAGAAAAUAACAACACACGAGACAAAUCUGGGCUAAGACACCUUGCGACGUCGCCGUUGUGCGGCAGCUGUUGACGCUUUGUCUGCCGGCAAUGCUGGCCGGCACAAAGGACACGGCAGGUAAGCCGCUGCCUCCAGGAGAGCGUACAAUGCAAAAGCGAAAGAGAGAGAGAGACAGAGAGAGAGAGAGCGCGAGAGGCAAUGUGUUGCUGCUCUUAAGCUGCUCAACAACAUGCGCCAUCUAUCGUCGGGUGGCAGCAGCUCAAUUUAAUCUGUGAGGCAACUGUUGCAAAAACUUGUGUCGAGAAUGGGUUGCACGUGGAACUGAUGAGGCGCACCGUUGUAGGUAUGAAGAAUAUGAAGAUGAAGAUCAAGAAAGUUUCAUUCGAAAAAAAUUGAGCUGGGAUAUUUAAAGGUUUAAUAGGAAACAAGAAAUGAUGGAUGCUGGAUCUAUAGCAGCUUGAGUAUAAUAUAAUGCUGAAUGAAUGAGGCCAAAAAUAUACAGCUGCAUUUACAAUGACUGAGGCCGCACUGCUUCAGUUGAGGCAUAUCGGUCGAACACCUGA
Molecule: long non-coding RNA, 1443 nt
Organism: Drosophila mojavensis
Lineage: Eukaryota; Metazoa; Arthropoda; Insecta; Diptera; Drosophilidae
Exons: 3
Source: RefSeq, a predicted model, not a curated record